GGGGGGGUCGCAUAGUGGUCUAGUGCGCCCGCCUGCUAAGCGGGUUGGGGCUGUUGAGGUCCCUCGAGGGUUCGAAUCCCUCCCCCUCCG
Molecule: transfer RNA, 90 nt
Filed under: Chloroflexota bacterium
Lineage: Bacteria; Bacillati; Chloroflexota
Description: Chloroflexi bacterium (groundwater metagenome) tRNA-Ser
Rfam family: tRNA
About the family: Transfer RNA (tRNA) molecules are approximately 80 nucleotides in length. Their secondary structure includes four short double-helical elements and three loops (D, anti-codon, and T loops). Further hydrogen bonds mediate the characteristic L-shaped molecular structure. tRNAs have two regions of fundamental functional importance: the anti-codon, which is responsible for specific mRNA codon recognition, and the 3' end, to which the tRNAs corresponding amino acid is attached (by aminoacyl-tRNA synthetases). tRNAs cope with the degeneracy of the genetic code in two manners: having more than one tRNA (with a specific anti-codon) for a particular amino acid; and 'wobble' base-pairing, i.e. permitting non-standard base-pairing at the 3rd anti-codon position.
Source: RNAcentral